UACGGAGGGGGCUAGCGUUGUUCGGAAUUACUGGGCGUAAAGGGUGCGUAGGUGGUUUUUCAAGUCAGGAGUGAAAGGCUACGGCUCAACCGUAGUAAGCUCUUGAAACUGUAAAACUUGAGUGCAGGAGAGGAGAGUGGAAUUCCUAGUGUAGCGGUGAAAUGCGUAGAUAUUAGGAGGAACACCAGUUGCGAAGGCGGCUCUCUGGACUGUAACUGACACUGAGGCACGAAAGCGUGGGGAGCAAACAGG
Molecule: ribosomal RNA, 252 nt
Filed under: uncultured bacterium
Lineage: Bacteria
Description: partial 16S ribosomal RNA
Rfam family: Bacterial small subunit ribosomal RNA
Source: RNAcentral